ACUAAAUUCUCACCUAAAGUUGAUACUAAUAUUACAAUAACUCUCUUGUGCCCUAUUUUGGUGUUUUAAACUUCUUUGCUGUACAUUUAAGAAAAUCAGAAUUUCAGUAGACUCCUCGUGCAGUCUGAGGAGGCAGUUUCCUAUCUGGUUUGACUUAAGGGGCUGCAGAAGACAUUCUUAUCCCACAUAUUUCUUCUGCUGAUCAGUCAGCAACUGAAAUUCCAACUAAUGGAUUCCAUUCUUCCAGUUAAGACAUCAUCUCCAGAAAACUGUGCUAGUUGGCAUCCAGCAGUGCCCAAGUAUUAUUUAACCCACUAGAACCUGUGACUGCAUCAGCUUUAUAUCCUGGACCUCAGCCUGGAACAAAGGAGAGCUACACUUGGAUACUAAACACAAGUGGUCUGGAUAGAUUAUGCUGGGAAAAGAAGCCUGGAGCAGGCAGUACAGUGGGAGAACAAGUUCAACCAAUCUACAAAGGCCAAAAAUAUUUUCACAGGCCCCCAAAAGAUGAACUCCAAUCUGCUGCCCCUAAACGCAUUCUCCACUGUCUGGAAGAUGUGCAAAGGCAACGGCACAGCGUUCUCCAUCUCAAAUCCUUCAAAGUGCUGUCAGAAUAAAAGAAUCCCCACCAAAAGCCCCAGGGAAAUCUAUCUGUCUGUAUGGUAUGGUAAUGACUGAGGUUAUUCCAGAUAGGAUUCUGGGAGAAACUCAGCUAUUGAAAUCUAAUGAAUGGAACUGAGAAUUUCUUGUUAUAAUACUGUUUGUUUGAUUGAAUAUAUCCUUGCAUAUAGGAAGACAUAAAAAUAAAUAAUAAAAGCAAGAUAUUAUUUGAA
This 833-nucleotide long non-coding RNA is filed under the name Homo sapiens (human). RNAcentral's name for it is "long independently transcribed non-coding RNA 1013, transcript variant 5 (LINC01013)". The record is from RNAcentral. Lineage: Eukaryota; Metazoa; Chordata; Mammalia; Primates; Hominidae.